This 132-nucleotide ribosomal RNA is filed under the name Platyreta sp. Its description in RNAcentral is "partial small subunit ribosomal RNA". It matches the Rfam family "Eukaryotic small subunit ribosomal RNA", at positions 1678 to 1804 of the family's 1831-position model. Lineage: Eukaryota; Endomyxa; Vampyrellida; Leptophryidae. The record is from RNAcentral.
GCUCCUACCGAUUGAAUGUUCCGGUGAAUCCUUCGGACCUAUUUCUAGAGGUGGGGAAACUCACUUUUAGAAGAUUGGGAAGUUGUGUAAACCUUAACAUUUAGAGGAAGGAGAAGUCGUAACAAGGUUUCC